Long non-coding RNA from Zea mays, 3748 nucleotides. RefSeq lists it as uncharacterized. The transcript is spliced from 7 exons. The record is from RefSeq and is a predicted model, not a curated record. NCBI's taxonomy places the organism in Eukaryota, Viridiplantae, Streptophyta, Magnoliopsida, Poales, Poaceae.
CCAGAUCCAUUUGUGCGUUCACAUCAUCUCCCUCUUCUCCUUGGCAACUGCUUCCGUCAUCUCCACCAUCGUCCCCACGUUCUCCUCCCUCCGCCUCUCGCUCUGCGCACAUCCCAUGCCCACGCCGAGCGCUUGCGCCUCACCACCCCCGUCGCAGCCGCGGCCGUGGCGGCGUCGACGACCUCCCCCGACUUUCUCGCCGUGGGCGCCGUCUUGGGGAAGCCCACAAUGCUCGUGGGUAGUGGCCGAGAAGAUCUUCCCUCGCCGUCCCGUUCUCUCGCCUCCCCACCAUCGGCGUCGAGGUCUACUACUUUCUCGUUGGCUAGGGCGAGCAGUGCUCCAGCACCUGUCACCAUCACCGACAUCAGCCUCGCCGCAGACGACAAGACCGACGAGCUGUUCGCCAAAAUCUCCCUCAGGCUAGGCCCCCCAUAAUGCCUUCUUCAGUUUCCUUCACUCUUGGUGUCCACCAUACUGCCUUCUUCAGUUUCCUUCACUCUUGGUGUCUCAGACUCUGGGCUCGGUGGAACGCAUUGCGACCGACCCGAUCCAUCCUCUUCGGCAGCCAUCCACUCUCUCCACGGCUCCAUCGCUAGACUAGAGAGAGAAACCCUAGUACCCGUGUUCCUUUUCAUCCCCCAUUUCUCCGAGUUUUCGGGCCCAUCUCCGAGCAUCGAGUCCAAGGAAGCGGAGCCGGCGGAGAAGGGGAGAUUUGACUUUCCCGUUGGGUGCCUAGGGAGCAGGAGGGAUGCAGCAGCGAGGGGGGCACACGUGGGCAGGGAUGGGGAAGACGGCCCAGGCGGCCGCGGCGCACGCCGCGCUCUUCUGCUUCAUUCUCCUCCUCGCGCUCAGGGUCGACGGACGCACCGCAUACUCCUGGUGGGUGCAAUUGUAGAUUGAGGAUGAUGUCAGAACUCAGAAGCUUCAGCUUACAUGCUUAUUGCUAUUGGAAACUUGUCAAUGUAAAUUUCAGUGUAACUGGGCAGAUGGGUAAAUUUCAGUGUAAUACCAUGAGACUAUAGAUUACUACCAGACUCAAAGCAACUUAGGUCGGGAAUCAUGGCUCUCAAGCUUGCUGAACACGAAGGGCGAGGAGGGGUGUGCACCUUUUCACUCUCCGACAACUCUCUCUCUAAUCAUUGACAUCCUGCUAGAGCGAGGUAUGACAAUUGCAGUUCCUAAUGCUUUUAUUAAGUUUCGACAUGCCAUUGCAUUUAGACAAACAAUUAUGCAUUAAUUAGAGCUCCUUGAAAUUUAAAAUUUUGUCAAGUCAUUUCUAUUUGUUAAUGGUCAAUUUCAGAAUUUAUCCAAGCUUUUACCACUGUUCUUAACUGUAAGUUGAUUUGGCUUGUUCAGGGAUAUAGCUUUUGCUAUGCAUCUAUAUUACACUAUAUCUAGAUACAUAGUAAACCUACAUUCAGUGCUUUAAUUUAGUUUUCAAAUUUCGUUUGCACCUUCAAUUCAUAGUGAGACAUCGAGUUAUAGUUCUAGCAAACUCUCUGUAUGACUGCACCUAAACAUUUUUAUUUGAAGGUUAUUUGAUAUUCAUUUUCAGCUCGCAGUUUAUAAAUGGUCUUUGGAUUCCCUGGUAGCCAAGGUUACUGAAGGGUAAUAGAACAUCUUGACCAACAGAUUUGUAAUAUUUACUCUGUUUGGUUAUCAAUGUUUACUUGCUAUUUAAGUUUUGUUUGAUCGUCAACUUUUUCUCAAUGUUUGAUUGUCAACUUUUUCUAUACCAGAAUCGAUGUACAAUCGUGUGAAAUUGUAUUAAAGGAGUGCACAUGUAUCUGCUGAAGUUUUUAGAAGUUGAUAGUUUUAUAUACUUUAUUGUUAUGACAAAAUUGUUUUAUUCUUAAAGAAAUCUGUCGGUGUAUUGCUACCAAAAUCCGCUAUUAAGUUUGAGAGGUAUCUGAUGGAUGAGGUGAGAUCUUAAAGGCACUACUAUAUGUUUCUGUAAUUGUUAAUUUUAGUAGGAUAUAGUCUCACCACAUUGUUAUUGUCCAUGUUAGAUUCUAUCGAUCGAUGCUGAUGUUAGUGAAGUUGAGUUUGGGAAGAAGGUAAGUGUUGGCACCGAUCCAGGCGCCAAUGAGAAGGGCAAGUCGUUGUGCCUAGCAGACGCCCUCCGCGCGCACCGCGGCUGUGAUAGACACUGGAUCCAGGCAUGCCAUGUUCGUCCACCUGCACGGAGAAUCUGCUAAUGACAGAGGCAAGUCCUCCACCUAGAUCUAUUAUCGAGGAAGGACAUAGAGAUCUGACGAUGUGUUCGUUUUAAUGGCAGGACGGCAUGACAGGCGACGAAAUCCAGUCAUCUCCUAAGGGAGCGACAUUGUAUGAUGGCCACUACGGGUGGUGGAGCUGGGCGUCGUUCUCGCCGCGGCGCACGUGAUCCAGGACCGCCAUGUCGCGACGCACGAGACCUGCUUUGUGCCAAGACAAAGGUUGCCAAAGUUUGACUUGCAUCUCCAGGUCGCAGCGACAAAGAAAGGUGGGCGAUGCGGUGGCGACGCGGGAGCACAACCACCAGGUGCAGUUGUUCCACCUACUACUCUCCAUUCCUGCAGAGCACAACCUUUAGGUGUAGCGGUCCAGACUACUACUAAAUAGUAAUACAUUUUACCAAUCGUUUACAAUUUUGAAUGAUGAGCUCCCUAAUUUUCUAAAUGUUGACUAAUAAAUAGUAAUAUACUAGGUAUGUAUGGUAUUGAUUUGGGGACAAUAGUGGGACUGGAGCUUGACGUCGACAUCGUGGUGGCGAACGCAACGACAAAGAAGGAAGACAGUCCUGACUUAUUUACUAAUGAAGAAAAAAAUCGAUGAAGUAGAAUCAAUGGACAUAGGAUUGCUGCUGACUCGUCUUCUAAGCAUGCUGCAGACCCCAAAGCAGAACCUGUAGUUCUAGCAAAUAAGUCUAAAUGGUCACCAGAGCAGGGGCAACACAGGAUCUAACGCCCAUUCUAUGUUGCUGAAGUUGAAGCACAUGUGCUCACAAUCGAAAAGCAUGGAACAAGAAGCAAUGUAGGCUACUGGCAGUUUUGGUGACUGCAACAGCCAGCAAUGGUCUAAUGCCAUCAAGGGGGUGUCAAGCAAGGCGUUCAUGGUAUUUAGUCCUUAUUGUUUAUGUGGUCGUAGAUUGUUGUGCGUAAUAAUGGUCGCUUCUAUGCCGCUGCAAGCAAACAUCAACGGUGUGUGAGGAGGUUCUAUCAUGCCUACCAAAUUUGUAAGAAGGCUCUUCUGAUAUUCCUAGAUCCCUGGCCCACUAUUGUUUAUUUUAAAAAAUUUAUUGGCACACUAAGGUCUAACACAACAACACCCUCUGUAAACUAUUAACAAAUUCAUGGUGGGAUGACGAUGGUGUGAACUGCAAAGAAGCAUGUGGCCCAACUUCUAGAUCCAGUGGUGCCAAACCUCAAUCAACAUUGUUCAGGAUGUUGUCAGCCAUAUUCAGCAAUAGUAGUAACCCACGACUAAUUUGGCUGCCCCAAAAAACAUCAGCAAAAAUAUCAGGUGGGGCAUGAGUAGGGAAGAUACAAACAAUGUACAUGGCCUGGUUAGGUGGCCUGGUUAGCUGUGAGCAUUCCGAACUCAUCAUAUAUGUGAGACACCAUGGAUUGGAUUUGCAAGUGAACAAAAAAACUCUAGAAUUUGAUGGUUCUUUCAUCUCAAUCCUUCUAUGUAAUGGCAAAAUUGAUUUGUUUUAGAAAUAUUGAUGCUUGCCUGCAUUAUCUAUCUAAUGGCAAAAUUGAUUUGU